UGAAAUACCACCCUUUAAUGUUUGAUGUUCUAACGUGGACCCGUGAUCCGGGUUGCGGACAGUGUCUGGUGGGUAGUUUGACUGGGGCGGUCUCCUCCUAAAGAGUAACGGAGGAGCACGAAGGUUGGCUAAUCCUGGUCGGACAUCAGGAGGUUAGUGCAAUGGCAUAAGCCAGCUUGACUGCGAGCGUGACGGCGCGAGCAGGUGCGAAAGCAGGUCAUAGUGAUCCGGUGGUUCUGAAUGGAAGGGCCAUCGCUCAACGGAUAAAAGGUACUCCGGGGAUAACAGGCUGAUACCGCCCAAGAGUUCAUAUCGACGGCGGUGUUUGGCACCUCGAUGUCGGCUCAUCACAUCCUGGGGCUGAAGUAGGUCCCAAGGGUAUGGCUGUUCGCCAUUUAAAGUGGUACGCGAGCUGGGUUUAGAACGUCGUGAGACAGUUCGGUCCCUAUCUGCCGUGGGCGCUGGAGAACUGAGGGGGGCUGCUCCUAGUACGAGAGGACCGGAGUGGACGCAUCACUGGUGUUCGGGUUGUCAUGCCAAUGGCACUGCCCGGUAGCUAAAUGCGGAAGAGAUAAGUGCUGAAAGCAUCUAAGCACGAAACUUGCCCCGAGAUGAGUUCUCCCUGACCCUUUAAGGGUCCUGAAGGAACGUUGAAGACGACGACGUUGAUAGGCCGGGUGUGUAAGCGCAGCGAUGCGUUGAGCUAACCGGUACUAAUGAACCGUGAGGCUUAACCUU
RNAcentral lists this ribosomal RNA (738 nucleotides) under Shigella sonnei. RNAcentral's name for it is "partial 23S ribosomal RNA". It matches the Rfam family "Bacterial large subunit ribosomal RNA", at positions 2193 to 2925 of the family's 2925-position model. The record is from RNAcentral. Lineage: Bacteria; Pseudomonadati; Pseudomonadota; Gammaproteobacteria; Enterobacterales; Enterobacteriaceae.